GAUGAACGCUGGCGGCGUGCUUAACACAUGCAAGUCGAACGGGAAUCACUUCAUUGAGACUUCGGUGGAUUUGAUUUGAUUCUAGUGGCGGACGGGUGAGUAACGCGUGGGUAACCUGCCUUAUACAGGGGGAUAACAGUCAGAAAUGACUGCUAAUACCGCAUAAGCGCACAGGACCGCAUGGUCCGGUGUGAAAAACUCCGGUGGUAUAAGAUGGACCCGCGUUGGAUUGGCUUGUUGGUGGGGUAACGGCCCACCAAGGCGACGAUCCAUAGCCGGCCUGAGAGGGUGAACGGCCACAUUGGGACUGAGACACGGCCCAGACUCCUACGGGAGGCAGCAGUGGGGAAUAUUGCACAAUGGGGGAAACCCUGAUGCGGCGACGCCGCGUGAAGGAAGAAGUAUCUCGGUAUGUAAACUUCUAUCAGCAGGGAAGAUAGUGACGGUACCUGACUAAGAAGCCCCGGCUAACUACGUGCCAGCAGCCGCAGUAA
Molecule: ribosomal RNA, 494 nt
Filed under: uncultured bacterium
Lineage: Bacteria
Description: partial 16S ribosomal RNA
Rfam family: Bacterial small subunit ribosomal RNA
Source: RNAcentral